This 132-nucleotide small RNA is filed under the name Klebsiella pneumoniae. Its description in RNAcentral is "RtT sRNA". It matches the Rfam family "RtT RNA". Rfam says of the family: This family represents a bacterial cis-regulatory element known as RtT RNA. The exact function of RtT is unknown although it is thought that it may be involved in changing the cellular response in relation to amino acid starvation. RNAcentral also lists the same sequence under 1 other name. The record is from RNAcentral. Lineage: Bacteria; Pseudomonadati; Pseudomonadota; Gammaproteobacteria; Enterobacterales; Enterobacteriaceae.
UAUUCUGCCCUACAGGGAAGGAUGAGAAGCUUCGACUAAGGUUCGACUCGAGCGAAGCGAGAGAACGUUGCCGCAGGCAACGGCCCGAAGGGCGAAGCGCUUUAGCGCCGAGUAAUCCUUCCCCCACCACUG